GAGCUGGGAAACAGCGCGCGCAGCUCGUCCGUAGAUUGGAAUCGCCCUGAAGAUGUAGACCCUCGAGGGAUUUACGUCAUAUCUGCUCCUUCCAUCUACGCUCGGGAGGUAGCGACGCCCCUUUUCCCCCCGCUACACACUGGGCGCGCUGGGCAGAGGCAGCACCUGCUUUUUCCCUACCCUUCCUCGAUUCUGUCCGUGAAAUGAAUUGGGUAGAGUCUCUGGAAGGUUUUAAGCCCAUUUUCAGUUCUAACUUACUUUCAUUCUAUUUUGCAUCCCUCUUGUCGUUUUGAGCCACCUGCCAUCUUCUCUUUGAAAAAGCUAUGGGCUUGAGGAGGUCACGAUGCCGACUCCGCCAGAGCUUUUCCACUGAUUGUACUCAGCGGGGAGGCAGGGGAGGCAGAGGAGCAGCCUCUCUAAUGCUUCCUACUCAUUUUGUUUCUAGGCCUGACGCGUCUCCUCCAUCCGCACCUGGAGUCAGAGCGUGGAUUUUUGUAUUUGCUCGGUGGUGCCCAGUCUCUGCCCCCAGAGGCUUUGGAGUUCAAUCUUGAAGGGGUGUCUGGGAGAACUUUACUGUUGCAAGUUGUAAAUAAUGGUUAUUUAUAUCCUAUUUUUUCUCACCCCAUCUCUCUAGAAGCACCUAUAAAGGCUAUUAUUGUGAUCAGUUUUGACUAACGAGGCUGAAUGCUUUGUAUUUGAUGUUGGGGCUGAGGGGAAGAGAUUUUGUCUCCUGAGGAGAGUAGUAGACAGGACUCUUUAUGUUGUAGCGGUCGGAAACGACUCAAACUGCUUUAAAUAUAAAAGAAUUUAUGGCUGGGUGCAGUGGCUCACGG
RNAcentral lists this long non-coding RNA (833 nucleotides) under Pan troglodytes (chimpanzee). RNAcentral's name for it is "long non-coding RNA NONPTRT008124". The record is from RNAcentral. Lineage: Eukaryota; Metazoa; Chordata; Mammalia; Primates; Hominidae.